This 240-nucleotide unclassified non-coding RNA is filed under the name soil metagenome. RNAcentral's name for it is "partial contains 5.8S ribosomal RNA, internal transcribed spacer 2, and large subunit ribosomal RNA". The record is from RNAcentral.
AACGCACGAGACCUGCGGACCUGCGGAAGGAUCAUUAAUGAGAAACUGCCCCUCGCGGGUAGAUCUCCCACCCUUUGUAAACUUACCUUUGUUGCUUUGGCAGGCCCGUCUCCGGACCGCCGGCUUCGGCUGGCCAGUGCCUGCCAGAGGAUUCUAAAACUCUGUCUGUCAGUGUUGUCUGAGUCUAUAUACAAUCGUUAAAACUUUUAACAAUGGAUCUCUAGAUCGGAAGAGGACACG